Molecule: long non-coding RNA, 1204 nt
Organism: Nymphalis io (European peacock)
Lineage: Eukaryota; Metazoa; Arthropoda; Insecta; Lepidoptera; Nymphalidae
Exons: 3
Source: RefSeq, a predicted model, not a curated record
UAUAAUAAUGUAACAUUUUUACUAAUAUUCAAAAGCAAUUUUUUCAUGAAUCCAUAAUUAAUAUUUAUGAUAAAUUUCUAGGUCAAUGUUAUUUUGCUUUCCUCCUACUAUUGGAUUAUAGAUUUCAUAUUUAGAUGUGUAUUUAUCAUUCAUUGUUUUUUUGUUUGUCUGUCAUAUUAAUUUUUUUUUUUUCAUAUAGUUCGGUAAAUGGGCUUCAUGAUAAUUGGUUGACAUUGGCUCUGUAAGAAAAAUUAACCAAUCCAUACAUCACCAAUGCCUCACCUACUAAAACGAUACUAUUGUGUCUGUAACGUGUGAUGGGCCGGUUUGCGUGGUUAAUAAAGGUUGUGGGUUCAAUUCACACCCAGGCCAGACCUUUGUGUGCAUGAACAUGUUUGUUUGUCCUGAGUCUGGGUGUAAUUAUCUAUAUAAAGAUGUUUUUACAAAAGAAAAGUAGUAUAUGUAGUAUAAGGUAGUCACCAAAUUCCGUCCCGAGCUUAAUUUCGUCCCCAGCUGUAAUCUUUUUCUAAAUAACGCCAUCUAAUUUUAAUACGUCAAAUCUAAAGUUAGUUAUGUCAGUCGGCCUUUUUAAAAGUUUGACGGUGAAACGUAGCUCCUGGCGCAAGAUAUUUAAAAAAAGAAAAAACUGUCCCAGAUGCCUAAGAAAAAGCCAUGGGAUCCCUUGGCAAUGAAAAAAGUCGUUGAAGCUGUCCGAACUAAAGAAAUGGGGUAUAAAGGCAAUGACUUCAACGCAUAAACAAGAAAUAAUAGAUGCGGAAAAGAAAAAGAUGAAAGAAAAACAGGAAAAAAAGGGUUAGAAAUUUAAAGAAAAAUACGACAGGAAGCAACAAAAAAAACUAUAGAGAGAUGUAAGAAUCUAUCUUCUGGCAAGGACAUGUCUGAAGCAGACCCAAUUUCAGUUUCUAUAGACGAAAAAAAUAGUGACAACUAUGACGUUGAAUUCCCAGUAUGUCCGAAAAGAUUUUCUCAAGAUACAAAGAGAGAGAAAUGAAUAAGAUGCACAAAAUGUUCCCAAUGGAUAGAGAGAGUACUAAUUUUUGUGAUCUCAAUAUCGUCCACGGGACGUAAUUAGAUGUCUAAAAAAAUAUUCUCAGAAUUUAUAGUUUUUUGUUAAAGCUAUUUUUGUAGAAAAAGUAACAUAGUUAAGAAGUUUUUGAGUAUUCCAAAUAAUAGAGAUGUUUCA